Molecule: ribosomal RNA, 253 nt
Filed under: uncultured bacterium
Lineage: Bacteria
Description: partial 16S ribosomal RNA
Rfam family: Bacterial small subunit ribosomal RNA
Source: RNAcentral
UACGAAGGGGGCUAGCGUUGUUCGGAAUCACUGGGCGUAAAGGGCGCGUAGGCGGCUAAUCAAGUCGGGGGUGAAAGCCUGUGGCUCAACCACAGAAUUGCCUUCGAUACUGUAUGGCUUGAGUCCGGAAGAGGACAGCGGAACUGCGAGUGUAGAGGUGAAAUUCGUAGAUAUUCGCAAGAACACCAGUGGCGAAGGCGGCUGUCUGGUCCGGUUCUGACGCUGAGGCGCGAAAGCGUGGGGAGCAAACAGG